UUUUUUUUUUUUUUUUUUUUUUAUGUUAUGAUUGUUACUGACUGCUGUUUGCUAGUGUUAAUCAUCUGAAUCAUGUUUUAGCCGCAUUCCACAAACACAUUUGUGUUAGAUUUCAGAUGUUUGUUACUUCCAUUGAAUGUCUAGAUUGGUGGAAUGUCCUGAGGGUAUUUUUAUUAUUAUUAUCAUUAUGAUUAAUAUUAUUUUUGAUAAAUGUGUUAAGUGUCACAUUAUGCCAUUUGAGAUGUUGAUUAGGUUUUUUACUGCCAAGCCUGUGCAUUUCACAUGAGGAGGACUAUGAAGACCUGGGGUGCGUUUAAGAAUGCCAUCACGGUGUAAUGGAAAUGAUCUCCUGCACUUGAACAGUUUAUCAGAGCCGUUUCUAGAGUCAUCUGUUCAAAGAGCUCCUUACCUUACAUCAUGGUGCCUGUAUUUGUAAUGGACAUUUUAUGAGAAAAAUAAAUCUGUGAGUUGUAGUACUGUAAUAGGCCAAACUCCUCAAAAGCCUGUAACCCAAGCUGUGUAAGAGGCGCGAGAUGUGUUUCGAGAAGAAUAACUUGACUUUUUAGUGUUUUUGUAUUUUAUUUUUCUAAUAAACACUGAAAUAUUUUGUUUAUAUAAAGGCUAAAUACUUACAAUGGAUGAAAAAUGUGAAAAAUCUAUAUGUUAAUGUGAUAAAUGGUAUUAAAUCAGACUGGGUUCAA
Molecule: long non-coding RNA, 701 nt
Organism: Carassius auratus (goldfish)
Lineage: Eukaryota; Metazoa; Chordata; Actinopteri; Cypriniformes; Cyprinidae
Exons: 3
Source: RefSeq, a predicted model, not a curated record